Molecule: long non-coding RNA, 1340 nt
Organism: Setaria italica (foxtail millet)
Lineage: Eukaryota; Viridiplantae; Streptophyta; Magnoliopsida; Poales; Poaceae
Exons: 2
Source: RefSeq, a predicted model, not a curated record
UCCGAUCCGGACGCCGCGCGCGCCCUUCGCAGGGCCCACCACUUUCCCCGCGACGCCACCACCAAACCUUCCCCCAACAAAAGCAGAUACAGGAAAAAAGCAAAACAGAUUGGAUCCGCACGCCGGCGCCGAGCAAGACGGCGGCGGCGACCAAAAAAGGGGGAUCGGAAUUACCGAAAAGAAAACGGCAAAUCAGGGACCUGCUGGAAAAAAAAAGCAAAACAGCAACAUCCCAGGAUCUUGAUUGGGUGUUAAGAUUUGUAUGCAUGGAUUUGAACAAGUUACCCCCAGAAUUUGAUUUUGACUUCCUGGAUGUUGAAAGUGCAAAUCCAUCUUAUUGCACUCAGUUAAUCUUAGAUCCUGCUGGAUUGGGUGGAAGUCAGCACCUUGGAAGGCAACGGGCUCAGGGUGAUGUUGGCGUGACACCAGUUGCUUUUGCCAACGUUGACCGUGUUGAUGUUGACAAUCAAGUUGCAGUCCUUGAUAUGGUCAAGCUUGAUGGCAUGCUUACAGCGCGCAUGCUGCUAUAAUUUCAGUGAGUUGUUUGUGAUGACAUACCUAUGCCAAGCUUAAUUUCCUCUUCCAGUCUGUAUCGUUCUCAGCGUAAGUAAACCAUUUAUACGUUAGCAACUUCCGGAUGUUAGGAAUGUCCACCUCUUGAAAAUUAUAUAUUGUACGCCCAUCCCAGUGCUCAGCGUGCAACAGCAUAUGAAAUCCACAAUCAUGGCUGCAACAAAAAUUCAGUGAGCAAAAAAAAAAGAAAAACAUGACUAGACAAAUUAUCGAGAAGUACUUGUUAGAUAUCAAGAAGAAAAUGUGACUAGCUAUACACUGGACAUGCAUGCUGUUAGGAGUAAUCCUGUGCGUGCUGUCCAGGUUCUGAGUGUCUAGGUGCAGAGCCUGUCCAGCUUCAGAGUGUCUACGUGCAGAGCCUAUUUACUUAGCAGAUUUCCAGCAGCUAGUUAGUGAGAAUAAUAAGCCAAUCAAGGUAGUGAUGGCUGUAAUUAUUAGCUUUCAAUUACAGGCCCUAUUGUAGCUCUCGGCUGUGUACGAAUAGAGAAGAAACAGAAAAAGCAGCAAGCGAUUGCGGCACCACAAAAAGACUACUGUGUGCGUGUGUUCUGUGUGUGAUUUCCUGGGCUACCUGUGAGGCUUUAGGCCUUCCACAUGCAGUACUUGUUGGCUAGAGGGCAAAGAUGUCAGCUUGGUGGUGUGACAUCAUCCAAUAUGGUAGGUGCAGUAUGGUAUAUGGAUAUUCCUUAGUACAAAGUUUGACAAUUAUAUGAUCCACCAUGCAACUAAGGUGCGCCAGUUCUCAAUGAUCAAAACAUGAUUCAGUA